Molecule: ribosomal RNA, 489 nt
Filed under: uncultured bacterium
Lineage: Bacteria
Description: bacterial SSU rRNA
Rfam family: Bacterial small subunit ribosomal RNA
Source: RNAcentral
AAUCAACGCUGGCGGCGUGCCUAACACAUGCAAGUCGAACGCGAAAGUCCCGCAAGGGAUUAGUAGAGUGGCAAACGGGUGAGUAACGCGUGGGUGACCUGCCUUCGAGUGGGGGAUAACGUUCCGAAAGGGACGCUAAUACCGCAUAACAUGCCGUCUUUUAAGAGAUGGACAUCAAAGCCUGGGACCGCAAGGCCAGGCGCUUGAAGAGGGGCCCGCGUCCGAUUAGCUAGUUGGUGGGGUAAUGGCUCACCAAGGCAACGAUCGGUAGCCGGCCUGAGAGGGCGGACGGCCACACUGGGACUGAGACACGGCCCAGACUCCUACGGGAGGCAGCAGUGGGGAAUUGUUCGCAAUGGGCGCAAGCCUGACGACGCAACGCCGCGUGGAGGAUGAAGACCUUCGGGUCGUAAACUCCUUUCGAUCUAGAUGAAUGGCCUCCGGGUGAACAGUCCGGAGGAGUGACGGUACCGAGAGAAGAAGCCCCGG